This 305-nucleotide ribosomal RNA is filed under the name uncultured bacterium. RNAcentral's name for it is "partial 16S ribosomal RNA". It matches the Rfam family "Bacterial small subunit ribosomal RNA", at positions 332 to 654 of the family's 1533-position model. The record is from RNAcentral.
CGGCCUACGGGGGGCAGCAGUGGGGGAUAUUGGACAAUGGGGGAAACCCUGAUCCAGCGACGCCGCGUGAGUGAAGAAGUAUUUCGGUAUGUAAAGCUCUGUCAGCAGGGAAGAAAGAAAUGACGGUACCUGACCAAGAAGCCCCGGCUAACUACGUGCCAGCAGCCGCGGUAAUACGUAGGGGGCAAGCGUUAUCCGGAAUUACUGGGUGUAAAGGGAGCGUAGACGGUGAUGCAAGUCUGGAGUGAAAGGCGGGGGCCCAACCCCCGGACUGCUCUGGGAACUGGGUAACUUGAUGGCAGGGG